Molecule: ribosomal RNA, 1415 nt
Filed under: Bifidobacterium pseudocatenulatum
Lineage: Bacteria; Bacillati; Actinomycetota; Actinomycetes; Bifidobacteriales; Bifidobacteriaceae
Description: 16S ribosomal RNA
Rfam family: Bacterial small subunit ribosomal RNA
Source: RNAcentral
GAUGAACGCUGGCGGCGUGCUUAACACAUGCAAGUCGAACGGGAUCCAUCAGGCUUUGCUUGGUGGUGAGAGUGGCGAACGGGUGAGUAAUGCGUGACCGACCUGCCCCAUACACCGGAAUAGCUCCUGGAAACGGGUGGUAAUGCCGGAUGCUCCGACUCCUCGCAUGGGGUGUCGGGAAAGAUUUCAUCGGUAUGGGAUGGGGUCGCGUCCUAUCAGGUAGUCGGCGGGGUAACGGCCCACCGAGCCUACGACGGGUAGCCGGCCUGAGAGGGCGACCGGCCACAUUGGGACUGAGAUACGGCCCAGACUCCUACGGGAGGCAGCAGUGGGGAAUAUUGCACAAUGGGCGCAAGCCUGAUGCAGCGACGCCGCGUGCGGGAUGACGGCCUUCGGGUUGUAAACCGCUUUUGAUCGGGAGCAAGCCUUCGGGUGAGUGUACCUUUCGAAUAAGCACCGGCUAACUACGUGCCAGCAGCCGCGGUAAUACGUAGGGUGCAAGCGUUAUCCGGAAUUAUUGGGCGUAAAGGGCUCGUAGGCGGUUCGUCGCGUCCGGUGUGAAAGUCCAUCGCUUAACGGUGGAUCUGCGCCGGGUACGGGCGGGCUGGAGUGCGGUAGGGGAGACUGGAAUUCCCGGUGUAACGGUGGAAUGUGUAGAUAUCGGGAAGAACACCAAUGGCGAAGGCAGGUCUCUGGGCCGUUACUGACGCUGAGGAGCGAAAGCGUGGGGAGCGAACAGGAUUAGAUACCCUGGUAGUCCACGCCGUAAACGGUGGAUGCUGGAUGUGGGGCCCGUUCCACGGGUUCCGUGUCGGAGCUAACGCGUUAAGCAUCCCGCCUGGGGAGUACGGCCGCAAGGCUAAAACUCAAAGAAAUUGACGGGGGCCCGCACAAGCGGCGGAGCAUGCGGAUUAAUUCGAUGCAACGCGAAGAACCUUACCUGGGCUUGACAUGUUCCCGACAGCCGUAGAGAUAUGGCCUCCCUUCGGGGCGGGUUCACAGGUGGUGCAUGGUCGUCGUCAGCUCGUGUCGUGAGAUGUUGGGUUAAGUCCCGCAACGAGCGCAACCCUCGCCCUGUGUUGCCAGCACGUCAUGGUGGGAACUCACGGGGGACCGCCGGGGUCAACUCGGAGGAAGGUGGGGAUGACGUCAGAUCAUCAUGCCCCUUACGUCCAGGGCUUCACGCAUGCUACAAUGGCCGGUACAACGGGAUGCGACACGGCGACGUGGAGCGGAUCCCUGAAAACCGGUCUCAGUUCGGAUUGGAGUCUGCAACCCGACUCCAUGAAGGCGGAGUCGCUAGUAAUCGCGGAUCAGCAACGCCGCGGUGAAUGCGUUCCCGGGCCUUGUACACACCGCCCGUCAAGUCAUGAAAGUGGGUAGCACCCGAAGCCGGUGGCCUAACCCUUUGUGGA